RNAcentral lists this ribosomal RNA (253 nucleotides) under uncultured bacterium. RNAcentral describes it as "partial 16S ribosomal RNA". It matches the Rfam family "Bacterial small subunit ribosomal RNA", at positions 524 to 776 of the family's 1533-position model. The record is from RNAcentral.
GACAGAGGGUGCAAACGUUGUUCGGAAUUACUGGGCGUAAAGCGCGUGUAGGCGGUUGUCCAAGUUGGAUGUGAAAGCCUUGAGCUCAACUCAAGAAAUGCAUUCAGGACUGGAUGACUAGAGGACCGGAGAGGAUAGUGGAAUUCCCAGUGUAGUGGUGAAAUACGUAGAGAUUGGGAAGAACACCAGUGGCGAAGGCGGCUAUCUGGACGGUUUCUGACGCUAAGACGCGAAAGCGUGGGGAGCAAACAGG